Molecule: ribosomal RNA, 1327 nt
Filed under: uncultured bacterium
Lineage: Bacteria
Description: bacterial SSU rRNA
Rfam family: Bacterial small subunit ribosomal RNA
Source: RNAcentral
CGGCGUGCAUAACACAUUCAAGUCGAACGGUGACGGGAACUUCGGUUCUCUGAACAGUGGCGGACGGGUGAGUAACGCGUGAGCAAUCUGCCCGGCAUAGAGGGAUAACACAGGGAAACCUGUGCUAAUACCACAUGAUGUAUACUGAUCGCAUGUUUGGUAUACCAAAGGGAAACCGAUGUCGGAUGAGCUCGCGUUGGAUUAGACAGUUGGCAGGGUAACGGCCUACCAAAUCAACGAUCCAUAGCCGAACUGAGAGGUUGAACGGCCACAUUGGAACUGAGAAACGGUCCAGACUCCUACGGGAGGCAGCAGUGGGGAAUAUUGGGCAAUGGGCGAAAGCCUGACCCAGCGACGCCGCGUGAGGGAAGACGGUCUUCGGAUUGUAAACCUCUUUCAGCAGGGAAGAAGCAAGUGACGGUACCUGCAGAAGAAGUCACGGCUAACUACGUGCCAGCAGCCGCGGUAAUACGUAGGUGGCGAGCGUUAUCCGGAAUUACUGGGUGUAAAGGGUGUGUAGGCGGGGAGGCAAGUCAGAUGUGAAAACCAAAAGCUCAACUUUUGGCCUGCAUUUGAAACUGUUUCUCUUGAGAGUGGGAGAGGUAAACGGAAUUCCUGGUGUAGUAGUGAAAUGCGUAGAUAUCGGGAGGAACACCGAUGGCGAAGGCAGGUCACUGGGCCGUUACUGACGCUGAGGAGCGAAAGCAUGGGGAGCGAACAGGAUUAGAUACCCUGGUAGUCCAUGCCGUAAACGUUGGGCGCUAGGUGUGGGGGCCUCUUCCGGCUUCUGCGCCGCAGCUAACGCAUUAAGCGCCCCGCCUGGGGAGUACGGCCGCAAGGCUAAAACUCAAAGGAAUUGACGGGGGCCCGCACAAGCGGCGGAGCAUGCGGAUUAAUUCGAUGCAACGCGAAGAACCUUACCAAGGCUUGACAUGCGCCGGAAGCCCGCAGAGAUGCGGGUGUCUUCGGACUGGCGUGCAGGUGGUGCAUGGUUGUCGUCAGCUCGUGUCGUGAGAUGUUGGGUUAAGUCCCGCAACGAGCGCAACCCCUGUCCCGUGUUGCCAGCGCUUCGGGCGGGGACUCGCGGGAGACUGCCGGGGUCAACUCGGAGGAAGGUGGGGAUGACGUCAAAUCAUCAUGCCCCUUAUGUCUUGGGCUUCACGCAUGCUACAAUGGCCGGUACAGAGGGCUGCGAUGCCGCGAGGCGGAGCGAAUCCCUUAAAGCCGGUCUCAGUUCGGAUCGGGGUCUGCAACUCGACCCCGUGAAGUCGGAGUCGCUAGUAAUCGCAGAUCAGCAACGCUGCGGUGAAUACGUUCUCGGGCCUUG